This 289-nucleotide ribosomal RNA is filed under the name fungal sp. RNAcentral describes it as "partial 28S ribosomal RNA". It matches the Rfam family "Eukaryotic large subunit ribosomal RNA", at positions 194 to 484 of the family's 3401-position model. Lineage: Eukaryota; Fungi. The record is from RNAcentral.
AACGGGACGCCAUAGAGGGUGAGAGCCCCGUCUGGUUGGACACCGAUCCUCUGUAAAGCUCCUUCGACGAGUCGAGUAGUUUGGGAAUGCUGCUCUAAAUGGGAGGUAUAUGUCUUCUAAAGCUAAAUACCGGCCAGAGACCGAUAGCGCACAAGUAGAGUGAUCGAAAGAUGAAAAGAACUUUGAAAAGAGAGUUAAACAGUACGUGAAAUUGUUGAAAGGGAAGCGCUUGUGACCAGACUUGGGCUUGGUUGAUCAUCCGGGGUUCUCCCCGGUGCACUCUUCCGGC